Molecule: ribosomal RNA, 497 nt
Filed under: uncultured bacterium
Lineage: Bacteria
Description: partial 16S ribosomal RNA
Rfam family: Bacterial small subunit ribosomal RNA
Source: RNAcentral
GAUGAACGCUGGCGGCGUGCCUAAUACAUGGAAGUCGAGCGAACAGAUGAGGAGCUUGCUCCUCUGACGUUAGCGGCGGACGGGUGAGUAACACGUGGAUAACCUACCUAUAAGACUGGGAUAACUUCGGGAAACCGGAGCUAAUACCGGAUAAUAUAUUGAACCGCAUGGUUCAAUAGUGAAAGACGGUUUUGCUGUCACUUAUAGAUGGAUCCGCGCCGCAUUAGCUAGUUGGUAAGGUAACGGCUUACCAAGGCAACGAUGCGUAGCCGACCUGAGAGGGUGAUCGGCCACACUGGAACUGAGACACGGUCCAGACUCCUACGGGAGGCAGCAGUAGGGAAUCUUCCGCAAUGGGCGAAAGCCUGACGGAGCAACGCCGCGUGAGUGAUGAAGGUCUUCGGAUCGUAAAACUCUGUUAUUAGGGAAGAACAAAUGUGUAAGUAACUAUGCACGUCUUGACGGUACCUAAUCAGAAAGCCACGGCUAACUACGUG